This 253-nucleotide ribosomal RNA is filed under the name uncultured bacterium. Its description in RNAcentral is "partial 16S ribosomal RNA". It matches the Rfam family "Bacterial small subunit ribosomal RNA", at positions 524 to 776 of the family's 1533-position model. The record is from RNAcentral.
UACGGAGGGUGCGAGCGUUGAUCGGAAUUACUGGGCGUAAAGGGCGCGUAGGCGGUGGGUUACGUCUGCCGUGAAAUCCCCGGGCUCAACCUGGGAAUGGCGGUGGAAACGGGCUGACUGGAGUAUGGGAGAGGGUGAUGGAAUUCCAGGUGUAGCGGUGAAAUGCGUAGAGAUCUGGAGGAACACCAGUGGCGAAGGCGGUCACCUGGCCCAAUACUGACGCUGAGGCGCGACAGCGUGGGGAGCAAACCGG